Molecule: ribosomal RNA, 492 nt
Filed under: uncultured bacterium
Lineage: Bacteria
Description: partial 16S ribosomal RNA
Rfam family: Bacterial small subunit ribosomal RNA
Source: RNAcentral
AGUGAACGCUGGCGGUAGGCCCCAUACACGUAAGCUGAACGGCAGGACAGUAAGAGUUUUCCCUGACGGGGGGCGAGCGGCGUACUGUGGGGGUAGACAGUGGAACCGACGUUUUUGUGGGGGAACAAGAAGGGAAAAUUAAGGGACUACCGCACACUGCCUAGGGGUUAAACCAGGAGAACUUCGGACCUUGCGCUGAUGAAUGAGACGAUGUCGGAUUAGCUAGUUGGCGGGGUAAAGGCCCACCAAGGCGACGAUCCGUAGCUGGUCUGAGAGGAUGAUCAGCCACACUGGAACUGAGACACGGUCCAGACUCCUACGGGAGGCAGCAGUGGGGAAUAUUGGACAAUGGGCGCAAGCCUGAUCCAGCCAUACCGCGUGGGUGAAGAAGGCCUUCGGGUUGUAAAGCCCUUUUGUUGGGAAAGAAAAGCAGCAGGUUAAUACCCCGCUGUUCUGACGGUACCCAAAGAAUAAGCACCGGCUAACUUCGUG